AUAGACGAUGAGAUUGGCUAAGAAAAGAAAAAGAAAAGGUAAAACUAUUCACUCUCGUGAAUGGGCAGUCCGCAGGCUUUACUUGGCUUUUUCUGAGGAGAAACUUAUCUCUUAGCCAAUAAUAUUAUGUUACGCGAAAAUAUUAUUACAUGUCUCAUAACGUUAUUGUUCGGAAGUCAAAAUCUUUCUCCAGAUUGAGACGUCGCACUGUUUUAUCUUUCUUUUUUUCAAAAGAGACGUCGAUUGUUGGGUCCCACCGUUUUGAUGAAAUAGUUUGACGUCUGGAGUGGUUCCACAUCAGCUAACUGCUGACCCACAUUUCCCAAGGACCAAGUGUGGCUCACGAGUCAUGCCUCUAAUCUCUAUCGACUCAAUAUUACAAGUGUGGCUCACAAGCCUAAAUUAUAUUUUUGGUUUUUGUAGAUAAUACCAAUUUAUGAGACGUUUGGGUGUUCCUUCUAUUUUGCAUAUGCUUGAAGGGAAAUGUAAUAUAGUUGCUUAUGUAUUGGCUCGUUUUGUUUUGAGAGAAAGGAAAAUAUAAAAUAAAAGAUAAAAGAUAAAAGAAUCUGACAUAUUUUUAUUUUCACUCUAUUUUAAGGUUCUUUUCUCUUGUUUACAAUAUUGAUUUCACUAAGAAAAUAACAUGAUCAACAACUCAUUAUGCUAAAAAAAAAAAAAUUUCUACGUAUAUAUUUAAUCAUAAUUUGCUAUUGAUCCAAAACUUCUAGUCGAUAGAACUAUCAAUUCUUAAUUUAUAGGAAUAAGGGAACGAGAGGAAUUUUAAGACAAUUAGAGAAACAAAAAGAAGAAGCUAAGGAACUGCUUUUGAGUUCUACUUUUAG
Molecule: long non-coding RNA, 842 nt
Filed under: Prunus dulcis (almond)
Lineage: Eukaryota; Viridiplantae; Streptophyta; Magnoliopsida; Rosales; Rosaceae
Description: sRNA ncRNA
Source: RNAcentral